CGGCAACAGCUCAAAUUUGAAAUCUGGCCUCUUUGGGGUCCGAGUUGUAAUUUGUAGAGGAUGUUUCUGGCGACGCGCCUUCCGAGUUCCCUGGAACGGGACGCCAUAGAGGGUGAGAGCCCCGUACGGUUGGAUGCCUAGCCUCUGUGAAACUCCUUCGAC
Molecule: ribosomal RNA, 162 nt
Filed under: Stephanonectria sp.
Lineage: Eukaryota; Fungi; Ascomycota; Sordariomycetes; Hypocreales; Nectriaceae
Description: partial large subunit ribosomal RNA
Rfam family: Eukaryotic large subunit ribosomal RNA
Source: RNAcentral